Molecule: non-coding RNA, 922 nt
Organism: Paramuricea clavata
Lineage: Eukaryota; Metazoa; Cnidaria; Anthozoa; Malacalcyonacea; Plexauridae
Source: the annotation of a GenBank genome assembly
CAACCAAUAACAAAGAGGAAGACAGACACAUUUGAGUCAUAAUGGCUAGGAGAAACGAAAAGUAUCCAGAAUAUACCGUUGAACUAUACCAAAUAACAUGCAAUUUUCUUCAUAACUCAACUGGAUAGAUCCUUUCAACAUACACUUAACUUUCUCAUUGUCACUACUCAAUAGCCAUGAUUGACCAAAAACUUGUGCAGCUGAGGUAAGAAGUUUGAUACGUUGAGCAGCAAAACGGGGACAUGAUAAUAGAUAAUGUUUUACAGAUUCACUUUCUACACCACAUGCACAUAAAGGAGAAUUACAACAAUUAAUACUAUAUAAAUAAUCAUUCAAGGCACAGCAGCCCAAUCUUAGUCUUGUAUGUAAGACAGAAGCUCUUCUCGUAAGUGAAAAGUUAAACCAUUUAUCAUAAUUAAAUGGAUGAAAAUGAUUAACUAUUUUAGAUUUAAAAAUAGCAUGGGAGAUUGAGUUUCUCACAUCAAGAUCAAUGGAGUUCCAUAAAGAAAUUGUGGAAGGAAAAUAAGACUUUUUGAAUUUUUCAGUUCUACAUCUAUACUCACUAAUAUUUUGGCCAGUUCGUAAAGAAAUAUAAGAUCUUUCAUUCACCAAAAUCGGUAAGAGAUCUACUAGGUACGGAGCAGUAGAUUUAUUAACUAUCUUGUAGAAAUGAGAUAAUUUAUGAAUUUUUCUUCUGAUGCUCAACUCCUCCCAAGCAAGUUCCUCACGAAGACUUUUUGAACUAGUACCUGCUAUGGCCCCCGUAACGACUUUGGCAGACUCAUACUGGACACUUUCAAGCAGGUCACUAUUACUAACAGUACAAUUAUCCCAUAUAAGAUCCCCAUACUCCAUAAUUGGACGUAUCAGGCUCUUAUACAAACAAGCAAGAGUUGAUCUAUUAAUUUUAAACCUCAACGAU